Molecule: long non-coding RNA, 864 nt
Organism: Portunus trituberculatus (swimming crab)
Lineage: Eukaryota; Metazoa; Arthropoda; Malacostraca; Decapoda; Portunidae
Exons: 3
Source: RefSeq, a predicted model, not a curated record
GCGCUGGCCUGCUUGUUGCCAGAUACUCGCCAGUCAGGUCAGUAACCUCACUCUAGCCGGCGUCUUCCCAGUGUCUGCAUGUUGGAGGGGAAGUGAGGCUGGCUGGAGAUUACCUGCCUGUGACGGUCUAGUGGUGUUGGUGGCAGUGUCGUCUGCCUGCCUCGUGUCCUUCACCGCUGGCUGGCUUCACAUUGUGGUGGUGAGAAAAGUGUGGGAGAACAUGGAGGAGAAAAGUGUGGGAGAACAUGGAGGAGGAAUAGUAGAUAGAAGAGAGGAAUAACAGUAGGAGGAAGACUAUAUCACCGCUACUACUAAACGACGAGAGGAAGGAGAGAGAGAACAGUAGGAGGAAGACUACUAUCACCGCUACUACUAUAUAUAUAUAUAUAUAUACCCUGCAUAAGACUCGCGUGUCUUGCCCCGAGUCGCUACAGCGUUACAAGUCCUAGACUGCACAUAUCACAGUAGUAGUACCAGUACAAUUUUUUUUUUUUUUUUUUUUUUAACAGCGAAAGUUGUUCUGUUUGUCUCCGGAGAGUCUUCGAGGUAUCUCUAGAAUUCGGACAAUUCCACCCUCUUCCUUCCACAAUACUGCUGGUGGUUGUGUGGACUGAUUUCCUCCACCCACUUGGUGAGAAUAGUCUGAAACGAGAAAAACAAAGGCAGAUGUAAAUAAAAUAAAAAUAUUUCUCAAAAUUGUUUAUACAUAUUCAUUUAUCUUUUACUUAUGAGCUCCCUCAAAAUUGUUUAUACAUACUUUUAAAUGUACUUUUUACUUACCUUAGCUCAGUAAUUCCAAAUAUUUUUAUUACCUUCCGCCCCAACCUGAGAUAGGUGAGGUUAGUUUGACCUCAUACCUUUUUC